RNAcentral lists this ribosomal RNA (253 nucleotides) under uncultured bacterium. RNAcentral's name for it is "partial 16S ribosomal RNA". It matches the Rfam family "Bacterial small subunit ribosomal RNA", at positions 524 to 776 of the family's 1533-position model. The record is from RNAcentral.
UACGUAGGGUGCAAGCGUUGUCCGGAAUUAUUGGGCGUAAAGGGCUCGUAGGCGGUCCAUCGCGUCGGGAGUGAAAAGCUGGGGCUUAACCCCAGUCCUGCUUCCGAUACGGGUGGACUAGAGGUAGGUAGGGGAGAACGGAAUUCCUGGUGUAGCGGUGAAAUGCGCAGAUAUCAGGAGGAACACCGGUGGCGAAGGCGGGUCUCUGGGCCGAAAUUGACGCUGAGGAGCGAAAGCGUGGGGAGCGAACAGG